AUUGAACGCUGGCGGCAUGCCUUACACAUGCAAGUCGAACGGCAGCGCGGACUUCGGUCUGGCGGCGAGUGGCGAACGGGUGAGUAAUGUAUCGGAACGUACCAUUCAGUGGGGGAUAACGCAGCGAAAGUUGCGCUAAUACCGCAUAUUCUGUGCGCAGGAAAGCAGGGGAUCGCAAGACCUUGCGCUGAUUGAGCGGCCGAUAUCAGAUUAGCUAGUUGGUGAGGUAAAGGCUCACCAAGGCGACGAUCUGUAGCGGGUCUGAGAGGAUGAUCCGCCACACUGGAACUGAGACACGGUCCAGACUCCUACGGGAGGCAGCAGUGGGGAAUUUUGGACAAUGGGCGCAAGCCUGAUCCAGCCAUGCCGCGUGAGUGAAGAAGGCCUUCGGGUUGUAAAGCUCUUUCGGCCGGGAAGAAAUCGCAUGGGUUAAUACCCUGUGUGGAUGACGGUACCGGCAUAAGAAGCACCGGCUAACUACGUG
RNAcentral lists this ribosomal RNA (484 nucleotides) under uncultured bacterium. RNAcentral describes it as "bacterial SSU rRNA". It matches the Rfam family "Bacterial small subunit ribosomal RNA", at positions 30 to 507 of the family's 1533-position model. The record is from RNAcentral.